This 275-nucleotide long non-coding RNA is filed under the name Nicotiana benthamiana. Its description in RNAcentral is "long non-coding RNA (NBEN_LNC041827)". Lineage: Eukaryota; Viridiplantae; Streptophyta; Magnoliopsida; Solanales; Solanaceae. The record is from RNAcentral.
AAUACCCUCCCUCUCUCAUACUCUCUUGAAGAUUCCUCGAAACCUUAACCCUCUUCUACCACUUUCAACUGCCAACUCAACGGAAUCCAUGGCUUCUCAGGCCAUGGAUGGCCUAUACUCACCUCCCUCCACACUUAAAUGCUUGGUGGUCGAAGUUUCAAUGUCUGACCUCGAUGGUGUUCGUUUAGAUUUUCUUUGAUUCAAAGUUCCAUGGCCUCUCCGGCCUUAGUCCGGCAUAUCCAACGCGUUUCAAGCCUGGUUCCGACACAACUGAC